RNAcentral lists this ribosomal RNA (433 nucleotides) under uncultured bacterium. RNAcentral's name for it is "bacterial SSU rRNA". It matches the Rfam family "Bacterial small subunit ribosomal RNA", at positions 29 to 507 of the family's 1533-position model. The record is from RNAcentral.
AACGAACGCUGGCGGCAUGCCUAACACAUGCAAGUCGAACGAACCCUUCGGGGUUAGUGGCGCACGGGUGCGUAACGCGUGGGGAUCUGCCCUUUGCUUCGGAAUAACAGUUAGAAAUGACUGCUAAUACCGGAUGAUGUCGCAAGACCAAAGAUUUAUCGGCAAAGGAUGAACCCGCGUAGGAUUAGCUAGUUGGUGGGGUAAAGGCCUACCAAGGCGACGAUCCUUAGCUGGUCUGAGAGGAUGAUCAGCCACACUGGGACUGAGACACGGCCCAGACCCCUACGGGAGGCAGCAGUGGGGAAUAUUGGACAAUGGGCGAAAGCCUGAUCCAGCAAUGCCGCGUGAGUGAUGAAGGCCUUAGGGUUGUAAAGCUCUUUUACCCGAGAUGAUAAUGACAGUAUCGGGAGAAUAAGCUCCGGCUAACUCCGUG